This 323-nucleotide ribosomal RNA is filed under the name Thecofilosea sp. RNAcentral describes it as "SSU rRNA". The stretch from base 105 to 323 matches the Rfam family "Eukaryotic small subunit ribosomal RNA", at positions 736 to 955 of the family's 1831-position model. The record is from RNAcentral. Lineage: Eukaryota; Cercozoa; Thecofilosea.
GAUUUCUGGUUCGACAUGCCCGACCUAGUGUGGCGACACAUUAAGUGUCGGUGUGUGUCUGCCAUCUUUGCCAGAGAACGGCGCCUCCCUUAAAUGGGCCGGCGUCGCCAUCUGGAUCAUUUACUUUGAAAAAAUUAGAGUGUUUAAAGCAGGCUUGCGGCUAUGAAUACAUUAGCAUGGAAUAAUAAUUUAGGACUUUUGUCUUAUUUUGUUGGUUUCUAGGACUUAAGUAAUGAUUGAUAGGGACAGUUGGGGGUGCUAGUAUUCAGCGGCCAGAGGUGAAAUUCUUGGAUUCGCUGAAGACUAACUUAUGCGAAAGCAUU